Long non-coding RNA from Cyprinus carpio carpio, 1182 nucleotides. NCBI's taxonomy places the organism in Eukaryota, Metazoa, Chordata, Actinopteri, Cypriniformes, Cyprinidae. The record is from Ensembl.
ACAAGUGAUGUGAUCUUAAAUUAUUCCAAAUCUGAUGAAGACUCAUCUACAUCUUGGAUGGCCUGAGGAGGAGUACAUUUUCAACAAAUUUUCAGUUAUUAUUCCUUUAAAACAAGAAAGUGUGCACUAGGCUUUAGCCAGCGACUCUUUCGGUGUCUUUUCUCCUCCGUGGUCAUUACAGCAGCGGCUGCAGUGCAGGGUAGGCGUCUUUUUUCCCAGGAGCAUCUCGCUGUACAGCAAGGUCACAGCAAGAGCAGCAAGAGAUGCACAACGAGAGAAAGAGAUGGAGAACUGCUCUAAAGGGCAGCUGGGAACUCAAUGGACCCGCCAAAGGCCAGGAGAGAAGGAAACAGAGCGAAUGAAGCCAAGAAUGGAGGAGAGAACGGCCUACCGGGGGUCGCGUUCAGCCGGAGCAGCGGGGCGGUGAAUGGAUGGGCGCCCGUCGAGAUGGAGGGGCUGUCGAUUAGAUUUCUCACAGCUCAGGUUUAAGCAGUGAGGCUUCUCCCGUCUUUCGCCAAAAAAACUCAUGGAAACAAAACCCCUGAUGUUUUGAGUGAAAUCGGCCCAGCUGGACACGUCACGUGAGCCGCCCAUAUCGCAAGGUUUUGCGGCGGUUCGCUCGGGGACCUGCUAAAGCGUACGGGAACGAAGCCGAGGGUUAAAGGUCAUUUGCGACGAGAGCUUUGGGGUCCUCCGGAGAAAGCUGCCCUGUCUGAAGGGGUCGACGCCAGGUACCCAAAUGACAGAGCAGGUGAGGAGAGAGAGAAUCCAGAGAGAGUGACAGAAAGCCAAGACGCUGAGCGAUGCAGAAGUUGAUGGUGUCUCCGCGAUGAGUUUCUUCCUCCCAUAUUGCCCAGCCCACAGCGCUCCAACGUCUCUGCUAUGCUACGCCACGAUGAUCUGCUCUCUGUGCGAGAUGUAUCACGGUUCCAGACCAAUCGCGGUGGGGGUGGAAGUAGGUGGAAGGAAGCGGACCGAAGGCUAAACGCUAAAGCCGAACACGUGUAACCAUCUGGUGUGGAGAGCAGAGGUUGAGCAGAGGCUCGGCUGGGGCCAGGAGUCUGUCAUACUCGCUCUGUGUCAGCUGGAGAGAGACGGAGCUCUCAGGACAGCCUGACCAGCAUCUGAAGCACAGCCCAACAGAGGAACAGUCAUAGCGGGCGUUUCUACUAAUGGACAAAC